UCAGAUUGUAAUCAACCUGGCUCUGAUACCAUAUGACUUUUAGGAAUAUAAAGAUUAAUCUGAGUUUAGAAUAGGAUUAAGGAAGAGAAUAAGAGAUUUAGGAAACUGAUUAGAGAUUAAUGGAGAAUCAUGAUGAAAUGAGUAAAGAGAAAGAUUGUUUAGAACUGUCUAAUCUUUAUUAAUGAUCUUGAGUCACAAUAUAUAGUGAGGUAAGCUUAGGGUUUUCGAUUACAAAGGAUAAGGAAAGCAUGUGAAGUCAAAAGGAGGAGGAGCCUAUAUUUGAAUCCGGCCAAUGAGCUUCUCUAAGUGUGUGAGGCAUCUAGCAUCUUCCCAUAGAUGCUGUUUACUUUCCAGUCCAUGCCAGACUGUCAGCGCGCCUCAUCCCUUCUUCCUU
RNAcentral lists this long non-coding RNA (394 nucleotides) under Brassica napus (rape). RNAcentral's name for it is "long non-coding RNA (BNAP_LNC004945)". The record is from RNAcentral. Lineage: Eukaryota; Viridiplantae; Streptophyta; Magnoliopsida; Brassicales; Brassicaceae.